UUGGUGAACCAGCGGAGGGAUCAUUACAGAGUUGUAAAACUCCCAAACCCAUGUGAACAUACCUGUUGCCUCGGUGGCCUACCCGGUAGCUACCCUGUAGCUACCCUGUAGUCCGCCGGCGGAAUUCAAAACUCUUGUUUAUUUAUUAUCUCUGAGAAUAAAACAAAUAAGUCAAAACUUUUAACAACGGAUCUCUUGGUUCUGGCAUCGAUGAAGAACGCAGCGAAAUGCGAUAAGUAAUGUGAAUUGCAGAAUUCAGUGAAUCAUCGAAUCUUUGAACGCACAUUGCGCCCAUUAGUAUUCUAGUGGGCAUGCCUGUUCGAGCGUCAUUAAUUCCACUUAAGCCCUGCUUAGUGUUGGGAGACUGCUCCAGUGGUGCUACCCUGUAGCUACCCUGCAGCUCCUUAAAGAUAGCGGCGGAGUUGUGAUAUCCUCUGAGCUUAGUAAUUUAUUCUAGCUUUCGAGUACAUCGCUUCCCCUGCCGUUAAACCACCCAAUUUUUAAUGGUUGACCUCGGAUCAGGUAGGAAUACCCGCUGAACUUAAGCAUAUC
This 552-nucleotide ribosomal RNA is filed under the name uncultured Xylariales. RNAcentral's name for it is "eukaryotic LSU rRNA". The stretch from base 176 to 329 matches the Rfam family "5.8S ribosomal RNA". Lineage: Eukaryota; Fungi; Ascomycota; Sordariomycetes; Xylariales. The record is from RNAcentral.